GCGAACGUUAGCGGCAGGCUUAACACAUGCAAGUCGAGCGAGAAAGGGGCUUCGGCUCCGAGUAAAGCGGCGGACGGGUGCGUAACACGUGGAUAAUCUGCCUCGUGGCGGGGGACAACAGUCCGAAAGGACUGCUAAUACCGCAUGUCAGGUCGGAAACUCCGGUUUCUGACGAAAAAGAGGGCGUCCGCAAGGAGCUCUCACCACGAGAUGAGUCCGCGUCCCAUCAGCUAGUUGGCGGUGUAAUGGACCACCAAGGCUUAGACGGGUAGCUGGUCUGAGAGGAUGACCAGCCACACUGGGACUGAGACACGGCCCAGACUCCUACGGGAGGCAGCAGUGGGGAAUAUUGGACAAUGGGCGAAAGCCUGAUCCAGCCAUGCCGCGUGAGUGAUGAAGGCC
RNAcentral lists this ribosomal RNA (402 nucleotides) under uncultured bacterium. RNAcentral's name for it is "bacterial SSU rRNA". It matches the Rfam family "Bacterial small subunit ribosomal RNA", at positions 29 to 416 of the family's 1533-position model. The record is from RNAcentral.